AGCAUUCCGCCUGGGGAGUACGGUCGCAAGAUUAAAACUCAAAGGAAUAGACGGGGACCCGCACAAGUGGUGGAGCACGUGGUUUAAUUCGAAGAUACGCGAAGAACCUUACCUGGCCUUGACAUUGAUAGAAUCUGAUAGAGAUAUCGGAGUGCCUGCUUGCAGGAGCUUGAAAACAGGUGCUGCACGGCUGUCGUCAGCUCGUGUCGUGAGAUGUUGGGUUAAGUCCCGCAACGAGCGCAACCCUCGUCGUUAGUUGCUAACAGUUCGGCUGAGCACUCUAGCGAGACUGCCUUCGCAAGGAGGAGGAAGGUGAGGACGACGUCAAGUCAUCAUGGCCCUUACGGCCAGGGCUACACACGUGCUACAAUGGGGCGUACAGAGAGUUGCGAUACCGCGAGGUGGAGCCAAUCUCUUAAAGCGUCUCUCAGUUCGGAUUGUUCUUUGCAACUCGAGAGCAUGAAGCUGGAAUCACUAGUAAUCGUAGAUCAGCAAUGCUACGGUGAAUACGUUCCCGGGUCUUGUACUCACCGCCCGUCACACCAUGGGAGUUGAUUUCACCCGAAAUC
Molecule: ribosomal RNA, 569 nt
Filed under: uncultured Campylobacterota bacterium
Lineage: Bacteria; Pseudomonadati; Campylobacterota
Description: bacterial SSU rRNA
Rfam family: Bacterial small subunit ribosomal RNA
Source: RNAcentral